RNAcentral lists this ribosomal RNA (382 nucleotides) under Gammaproteobacteria bacterium TMED219. Its description in RNAcentral is "bacterial SSU rRNA". It matches the Rfam family "Bacterial small subunit ribosomal RNA", at positions 1 to 392 of the family's 1533-position model. The record is from RNAcentral. Lineage: Bacteria; Pseudomonadati; Pseudomonadota; Gammaproteobacteria.
UAUUUGAAGAGUUUGAUCAUGGCUCAGAUUGAACGCUGGCGGCAGGCCUAAUACAUGCAAGUCGAACGAGAAAGCAUCUUCGGAUGUGAGUACAGUGGCGGACGGGUGAGUAAUACAUAGGAAUCUACCCAAUGGUGGGGGAUAGCUCGGGGAAACUCGAAUUAAUACCGCAUAAUCUCUACGGAGUAAAGGGGGCUUCGGCUCUCGCCAUCGGAUGAGCCUAUGCAGGAUUAGCUUGUUGGUAAGGUAAUGGCUUACCAAGGCAACGAUCCUUAGCUGGUUUGAGAGGAUGACCAGCCACAUCGGGACUGAGACACGGCCCGGACUUCUACGGAAGGCAGCAGUAGGGAAUAUUGGACAAUGAGCGAAAGCUUGAUCCAGC